This is a small nuclear RNA of Bos grunniens (domestic yak), 103 nucleotides long. Its record names the gene U2. It matches the Rfam family "U2 spliceosomal RNA". From Rfam's summary of the family: U2 is a small nuclear RNA (snRNA) component of the spliceosome (involved in pre-mRNA splicing). Complementary binding between U2 snRNA (in an area lying towards the 5' end but 3' to hairpin I) and the branchpoint sequence (BPS) of the intron results the bulging out of an unpaired adenosine, on the BPS, which initiates a nucleophilic attack at the intronic 5' splice site, thus starting the first of two transesterification reactions that mediate splicing. NCBI's taxonomy places the organism in Eukaryota, Metazoa, Chordata, Mammalia, Artiodactyla, Bovidae. The record is from Ensembl.
CUCACUUCUCGGCCUUUUGGCUAAGAUCAAGUGUAGUAUCUGUUCUUAUCAGUUUAAUAUCUGAUAUGUUCUCUAUCCGACGGAGAAGGCAAUGGCACCCCAC